Molecule: ribosomal RNA, 386 nt
Filed under: Selenops pensilis
Lineage: Eukaryota; Metazoa; Arthropoda; Arachnida; Araneae; Selenopidae
Description: partial 16S ribosomal RNA
Rfam family: Archaeal large subunit ribosomal RNA (bases 1-251)
Source: RNAcentral
GGCAGUUAAUUAAUAAUAAUUUUAAUUUCAAAAAUUAAAUAAAUAAUCCAAUAUUAUUGAAACGAUCAAGUUACCAUAGGGAUAACAGCGUAAUAAUUUUCUAAAGCUCCUAUAAAAACAAUAGUUUGCGACCUCGAUGUUGAAUUAAUUACCUAAUCAGAGCAAAAGCUGAUCAAGGAAGUCUGUUCGACUUUUAAAAAAUUACAUGAUUUGAGUUCAGACCGGUAUAAGCCAGGUCGGUUUCUAUCUUCUAUUUAAUCCUUACAGUACGAAAGGGCCCAAGGAACUAAUUAAAUUAAACUAAUUGGCAGAAAAAUGCAUUAGAAUUAGAAUCUAAUAAAACUAACAUACCAUUUAUCAUAUCAUAUCUAAUCAUUAUUAUCAGA